AUUGGACGUUACCCACAGAAGAAGCACCGGCUAACUCCGUGCCAGCAGCCGCGGUAAUACGGAGGGUGCGAGCGUUAAUCGGAAUUACUGGGCGUAAAGGGUGCGUAGGUGGUUGAUUAAGUUAUCUGUGAAAUCCCUGGGCUCAACCUGGGCAGGUCAGAUAAGACUGAUUGACUCGAGUAUAGGAGAGGGUAGUGGAAUUUCCGGUGUAGCGGUGAAAUGCGUAGAGAUCGGAAGGAACACCAGUGGCGAAGGCGGCUACCUGGCCUAAUACUGACACUGAGGCACGAAAGCGUGGGGAGCAAACAGGAUUAGAUACCCUGGUAGUCCACGCUGUAAACGAUGUCAACUAGCU
Molecule: ribosomal RNA, 355 nt
Filed under: Legionella sp.
Lineage: Bacteria; Pseudomonadati; Pseudomonadota; Gammaproteobacteria; Legionellales; Legionellaceae
Description: bacterial SSU rRNA
Rfam family: Bacterial small subunit ribosomal RNA
Source: RNAcentral